GUGAUGAAGGAGUGGUGAGGAGGGUUCCUAUUUAUAAAAAAAGAGAACAGUUGGAUUUUCACCAAGUGGCACAAAUCCAGGAAGAAACGAGAGGAAAAAAGUAGACUGAUACGACGUGACGACUGGCAGACGUGAUUGAUGGAUGGUCAAUGAGACGACGGCAUAAAAAUCGUAGGCACACUGGCCGAGGAACAACACAUGCCUCUCGAAUGGCGGCAACCUGCCGGUCGAACGGUGGCGCGCGUAAACUGCGCACCACGUACCUUGUGCAAAUGGGAUGUGCACGCAAGCACACGUUCGACUGGACGCAUGCACCCAUGUUC
RNAcentral lists this long non-coding RNA (323 nucleotides) under Carica papaya (papaya). RNAcentral's name for it is "long non-coding RNA (CPAP_LNC002155)". The record is from RNAcentral. Lineage: Eukaryota; Viridiplantae; Streptophyta; Magnoliopsida; Brassicales; Caricaceae.